UACGAAGGGGGCUAGCGUUGCUCGGAAUCACUGGGCGUAAAGCGCACGUAGGCGGAUCGUUAAGUCAGGGGUGAAAUCCUGGAGCUCAACUCCAGAACUGCCCUUGAUACUGGCGAUCUCGAGUCCGGAAGAGGUAAGUGGAACUGCGAGUGUAGAGGUGAAAUUCGUAGAUAUUCGCAAGAACACCAGUGGCGAAGGCGGCUUACUGGUCCGGUACUGACGCUGAGGUGCGAAAGCGUGGGGAGCAAACAGG
This 253-nucleotide ribosomal RNA is filed under the name uncultured bacterium. Its description in RNAcentral is "partial 16S ribosomal RNA". It matches the Rfam family "Bacterial small subunit ribosomal RNA", at positions 524 to 776 of the family's 1533-position model. The record is from RNAcentral.